AGAGUUUGAUCCUGGCUCAGAACGAACGCUGGCGGCAGGCUUAACACAUGCAAGUCGAGCGCCCCGCAAGGGGAGCGGCAGACGGGUGAGUAACGCGUGGGAACGUACCUUUUGCUACGGAAUAACUCAGGGAAACUUGUGCUAAUACCGUAUGUGCCCUUCGGGGGAAAGAUUUAUCGGCAAAGGAUCGGCCCGCGUUGGAUUAGCUAGUUGGUGAGGUAAAGGCUCACCAAGGCGACGAUCCAUAGCUGGUCUGAGAGGAUGAUCAGCCACACUGGGACUGAGACACGGCCCAGACUCCUACGGGAGGCAGCAGUGGGGAAUAUUGGACAAUGGGCGCAAGCCUGAUCCAGCCAUGCCGCGUGAGUGAUGAAGGCCCUAGGGUUGUAAAGCUCUUUCACCGGUGAAGAUAAUGACGGUAACCGGAGAAGAAGCCCCGGCNNANUAACGGUUCAAA
Molecule: ribosomal RNA, 457 nt
Filed under: Brucella anthropi
Lineage: Bacteria; Pseudomonadati; Pseudomonadota; Alphaproteobacteria; Hyphomicrobiales; Brucellaceae
Description: bacterial SSU rRNA
Rfam family: Bacterial small subunit ribosomal RNA
Source: RNAcentral